Molecule: ribosomal RNA, 495 nt
Filed under: uncultured bacterium
Lineage: Bacteria
Description: partial 16S ribosomal RNA
Rfam family: Bacterial small subunit ribosomal RNA
Source: RNAcentral
GACGAACGCUGGCGGCGUGCCUAAUACAUGCAAGUAGAACGCUGAAGGAGGAGCUUGCUUCUCUGGAUGAGUUGCGAACGGGUGAGUAACGCGUAGGUAACCUGCCUGGUAGUGGGGGAUAACUAUUGGAAACGAUAGCUAAUACCGCAUAAUAGCAGUUGUUGCAUGAUAACUGUUUGAAAGGUGCAAUUGCACCGCUACCAGAUGGACCUGCGUUGUAUUAGCUAGUUGGUGGGGUAACGGCUCAACAAGGCGACGAUACAUAGCCGACCUGAGAGGGUGAUCGGCCAAACUGGGACUGAGACACGGCCCAGACUCCUACGGGAGGCAGCAGUAGGGAAUCUUCGGCAAUGGACGGAAGUCUGACCGAGCAACGCCGCGUGAGUGAAGAAGGGUUUCGGAUCGUAAAGCUCUGUUGUAAGAGAAGAACGAGUGUGAGAGUGGAAAGUUCACACUGUGACGGUAUCUUACCAGAAAGGGACGGCUAACUACGUG